Molecule: RNA transcript, 9632 nt
Organism: Mustela lutreola (European mink)
Lineage: Eukaryota; Metazoa; Chordata; Mammalia; Carnivora; Mustelidae
Exons: 50
Source: RefSeq, a predicted model, not a curated record
UGUAACCUUAAGAACCAAUGUAAAAUGAACACAAUAAUGAAAGUCUUUUACUUUUCGUGAUGCUUCCUCCCUAUCUUACUUUAGAGCUGUGAAAUACUUUUCUUUUUUGGAAAUAUAAGAGCUCUGUAAAGAGGCCUUUAGCCCAAGUUUUUAAUGUGACAAUUACAAAUACAAACUCGUGGUUACUUUAUUUUUAGAUUACAGUAACUCAAGUACAGAAGCCUCUUUCUGUAGUUCCUGUUCUCUUUUACAAAUCCAGGGCUGCUUUUUAAAACCAGUGACUCACCUUAUUCCUUUAUAUCUAAAACUUUUGAUGCAUUUUAGUCUUUGCAUUAUAUAUAAUCAUCAAUAUAAAUUAAGAAUAUGAAUUCCAGUACCCACUUUUAUAACAAAGUAUAGGAAAAGUAAAUUUGACAUUUUAUUACCUAUCCAAUAAAAAAAACUCAGAGGAAUAUGAUACAUUUUUAAAAUAUUUUAAAAUCAGUGAUGUCCUAAGUGAUUUCUUUGUAUAUGAAUGCUUUAUAAUAAAUUUACACUUGUUGACCUAUCUGUUUAGAAACUUAUGGAAACUAGUAUGCUCUUUAGAACUUUUUUGGUUUUUCACUGAAAUCCUUUGGGGCAACUAGAGAAUUGAAGUCCUCAACUGAAGUAGAAAUAGAAGACUGACAGAAAAGGCGUAAUAGAAGGGAGGAACUCAGAAGCUCGGGUAGCAGUUUAAGAGAUGGUGACUCCAAAAGGACAGAGUUGGAGGUACAUUUUAUCUACAGCUGGGGGAAUAAUCAAGCUAUAGGUAUGAAAGAAUUUUCAGGGCAAGAUCUGGAGGAGCUAGGAAAAGCAAUUAUGUUAAAGAUAAUCCUCCCAGGAAAAUCCCUAACAGAAUAUAGGAGGAAGGGGGUAAUUAUGGAAUUUCUGGUGAGGGAAGAGGAAAACUCUGAUUCAUUCUCAUUGAGAAAAGAGGUGUUAUGUAAGAGGACCUUCCAGACCCGAAGUGGGGAAAUAACUGAAAAUGGAUGAAUACGUGGAAUUAUCCUGGAAAGUAAAUUAUGAUAGAGAUGAAAGAUUCUCUCUGGCUGAAGUACUGCAUGUGUCCUUCACCCACUCUUAUUCCCUCUCCCUCUACAGCUUCUUCAGUCCCAGAGAUGUUGCUUCAUCUAAAUUCAUUUUCAUCACUUUAUCUACUUUUCAACUUUGCCUUUCCUCCUCAAGAAUGUGAGUGCUAUCGUUUCAACUUAGCGGAAACCUCACUAGACCAUAAUGCAGCCCGAUACCCUUCUGUGCCUUUGUUCUCUAUGCAUUUAGGAAGGUGGUUGGCUCUACUUAGCUUAUCAGUAGUGAAGUCAUUACUUGCAAAAAAUGUAUUGCUAAAACAAAAACAGAGUCAUUUUAGGAAUGCUUGAAUAUUUCAGUUAAGCACUGAAGAGUUUUCUUGGAAAAUCGGUGUUGUGUAGGAGAAAAACCAUAAGACUUCAGAAUUAGGAGACUCGGGUUCAAAUUUUGACUCUAGGCUUUUAAUAGCUUGGACAAUCAAGUAAAUUUGGAGGCUCCAUUUCUUAUUUGUUAAGUAGGGAUUAUAUUGUUAACCUACCUCACAGGACUGUUGCGAGGAGUAAAUGAAAUAACACGUCAAAGCCCCCCGCAGAAGGGUUGGUGCUGAGUAAAAAUUCAAUAAAUAUUAAAUCUGACUGCCCUCCCCGACCAAAAGUGGUCAGAGACCCUGAGUUUGCAUGGCUUAAAGCCUUAAAGCAGGAAGCGAAAUGUAUUCUUCGUAAAAGUGGAAAUAUUCUAAUUACUUGGAUUUGGUUUUUUGGAUUGUUGUUUCGUUUGUUUUUUUUGCUUUUUUGGUUUUUUUGCCUGUGUGUCUGGGAGGAAGUUAUUUUGGCUUAUUCCCUAGCUCAGUUUUCUAGUGAGGUGGGGGAAGAAUAUGGUCUUACCAUGGUGCAGAAGAAAUACACAAUCCCACACAGCCACUUGGUUUGGAGACUGGGUUGUUGGGUAACAGCUAUUAUGGAGAGACACUAAAAAAUUGUCUCUUGUUGCUCCAUCACAGCUACUGAACUAAAAACAUGUCCGGCUUGCAGACGGCUGCUUGCCAGAGCCCUUGACUCCUCAGGGGGUGGAGCGAGUGAUUUCCUUCCUGGACAGGGGCAAUCUGUGGUCAGUGUUCCCGAGUUACUGUAGCAACCCUGCAGCUGUGCUCUGCCUAGCAGAAACUCGGUAGGAUAUCAUUGAUUUUGCUCACUUCAGUGAAAAACAGGGACUCUACUGGGCCAAAGAAGAAGCCAGGUGAGUUUUUGAAGCCAAUAGGUCCAGGCAUGCCAGAUUCGACUCUAAAGAAGCCUGAAACAUACCCUGGAUAUUUGCUGAAUGUUGAAGUAUAAAAGAGCCUGGAGAGCUGGUCCAGAAAGGCAGAAUAAAAUCUUCAAUGUUAUGAUGCUUAGGAGACAAAUUCCUUCUAGAGAGAGGGACGGCACCAACCAUACGACAGGGCUUUCCCUCAAGUUUUUGCCAGAUACUGAACUUGAUGUUGUGAGAGACUAAGCUCAAAACCUUCGAAGGACAGAGUUUCAGGAAUGAGGACAAAGAGAAAAGCCAAACUAUCAAUCAAAAACUGCAGAAGGCCACACUCAAGAAGGAAACUGGAUUGGAAAGGGAUAUAGUAAAGUGGUAAAUGCAAAUCAUGGAUGAAAUUUAUAAGAUCGCUUCCACAGAAAGGAUCCAGCAGUUAGAAAAUGAACUGGCUAUGCAACUGACUGAACUAAAGUCUGAGAUAGAAGAACAGGAGACUCAUCCAGCUUACAGCUCUGUUCGAAUACCAAAGGACAUUUCUUACUUCAGAAGAGAAAGGGAACUGGCUCUAAAGAGAACUUUACAGGUGGCGGAGUCAAAGCCCCUUGUUGUUCAAGCAGAUGUCAUGCAGAGGGAGCUAGAGAGCUGCCUAAGAAGAGAGUACACUCCUGAAAAUUUACCUUUGCUUCUGUUGCAGUAUUAUACAGAGAGAAUUAUCCAGUUGGCCCAGAGUAAAUAUUUGCACAUGCUUAGAUGGAAGAGGUUUUGCCAGCACAGUAAGAUUAUGGAGCAACUUUAUCCCCUUUACAAGAAACAAGUUGCCUACAUUAUGCAGGAGUACAAUGAUGCAGUCCAGAGAGCUGAAAGAUUGUCUGUUGCACGGGAAAACUUCCUUAUGGGAAAAAGCAAUCCUUCUAACUUAGUGACACAGGAAGACCUGACUAUUUACACAAAGUGGUUUGUGUGUCACCUACACUCACUCACAACCAUUCACCACUUCCUACAGUCUCUCCAGUAUUUGCCCAUCUCCAAAGUGCUGAGUGUAGCUGUUAAUGAAGAUUCAGAGGCUGGUCAGGAGGAUGAAAAGGUCUGUGUCGAUGACAUCAACCCUAACAACCAGGGUUCUGUAUCUCCAGGCCCUGUGGAUACCAGCAUUUCAGGGCUGACAAGAACAGAAACUGCUUUUUUCCUGCCCCAACACACAACUGAAAGAGAAGAACUGAAACCUCAGCUGGGGCUCCUGCUCUCCCAUUUCAGUAUCUCCUACGACGUGGAGGAGCUGAGGGAUACUGCUCAGGAGAUGGAGCUUUUUAACUUGGUUUCCAAAAAAUUCCGAAGCAUCUUCAUGGAGCAGCAGAGAAUGCAAACAUUUCCAGAUUAUGAUGCUGAGAUAGCUAAAGUGGAGAAUUUGGGUUUGGCAGGUCCUGGUAUGGCCUUGAAAAAGAGAGCUAACUGGACUUCCUUUAUAAAGAUUAAGCCAAAAUGUGAUCCUUGGCAAAAGAAGAUUUUGACUAGACUAAAAGAAAGGAGAAGACUAGAUGUAUUAAUGCAACUCCAAGCCAAGUUUUUGAAGAUUUCCAGCCCCGAGCGAGUAAUGCAAGUGCUCCAAGACCAUGCUGCAAAGACAAUCAUGCCACCUCCAUCUUGUCCAACUUCUGUGGCUGGCCAGGGUUUGCAUCAGUGCAACUAUGACGACAUCUGGGAGAAUAUUUAUAGCAACAUCAAUCUCUACCAGAAUGAAAAUAUGAGGGAAGAAGACCUUUCAAUGGAACAAAAUGAAAAUGACCUAGCACAGAUAAGUCGCUGCCAACAUGCUGGUGAGCCCGUCAAGCAGAAAAAAGAGACAGGGUACAGCUUUGCAGUGGCCCUGCAACUGCUCGGUUUGGAUGGUGGGGCCGGGCCCAGUGAUGGGAGUCCUGUCCUGAUGAAAGGAGCCUACUUGUCCUUCCUGUAUCUGCGCCACCUGCGAAUCAGGGAGCUGCAGCGCACCUGUCUGGGAAUUCUGAACUACUUCAGAUCCAUUGAGCGAACACUGACAAUCAACACUUCAGGCCUUACCUUGGUUGGAGGGAGUCUGGUCCCCACCAUAGAAGAUAGUUUUUGGGUAAAUACAGCCGAGGGAGGUCUGGGCACCUCGCAAGGCCUAGGAGCUAACCACUAUGUCCAUGGGACAGCUGCUGAGCACAAGGUCCACAGUGUCCGAUUCAUGGAGUUCUCGGAAGUGGAGAACCAGGACGACUACUACAGCAUGGAGGCUGCGUCCAUCUACACAAAGGACCCGCACGGAGUACAUAUCAUGUACGAUGAAGCCUUGAGCGAUCUGAAGGAGCUCGAGGCAGAGCUGCUGCUUGUGGCCAGCCAUUAUAUCGAGAAAGAAAAAGGUCACAAAGAGGGCAGCGAGUCAAAUACUGGCCAGGACUGGGGACGGGCCCAUGCAAGUGUGGACAGAUUUGCUGUGCUGUAUGACAUGUGGACUUGGGAAGCAGCCCUUCUAGAAAACAAGCGCCAGCUUCUUGACAGUUACUUCGAAGCCUACCAGCAUGUGUUGGACCCUGAGGAGAGGUUUGCCUUAGCACAAGUGAUCACUGACCUAAUGCACAGACGCCCGAGGUUUGAUCUCAGCCGCCAUUAUUUCCGGAAGGCCUACCGAGAUGAGGGCACCUGCCUGAGGCUUCACUUGGAGCUAGUGAGGGGCAUCCUCAAUCAGCACAUCGAGCGUCAGCGGGAGUAUGUCCAGAGGCUUUGGCAGGAAGGCCGUCCAGAUGAUAGCAGUAACUUUGGACUCCCCCUUAACAUAAUUUGCAAACAACUUAUUUCCAUCAACAAUAGCUGCCCAGCUUUGAAAAACAUUUAUCUGCUGGAGUUCCAUCCUUCCCUGGGCCUGGCAUCACUCAUCCCCCGAUCCCUUGAGCACCUCCUCCAGGAGGCCCGCCACACCUGCAGACCAAGAUCCGCCAGCAGCUUCACCUUGCUGGAGAGACGUGUGCUGCGGCUGGCCCUGGAUAUGUGGCUUACACCGGCCAGGCCCGAGUCCUGGUACAGCAAUCAGCUCCAGAGGGAUCUGUUUUCAGCUAAAGUAAUGGGAGAUCCCUUUCUCCUGGAGGAGAUAGGUCUGCUUGCUCUCCAGUCUGCUGCAGACGAAGGACAGAACCAAAGCCAAGGUUCUUCUGUGCAGCUCCUGGAGACAUUUUCGAAACUUCUGGAACUUGUGACCCUCCGCCACCGGCUAAUAGAAAUGAGUCUGGAGAGUGUACACUUAGCUCGUCUCUAUAAGGAACUGGCAUGGGAGAUGGGUUUUGAAGAGUUCCAUUUGUAUCUGAGGCCCAUUCACUUUGAAUUUGCAUCACUCAAAGACAAAGUGGACCACCCGCCUCCUGUCUUUAUUACCUCUCUGCUGGAGGACAGUGAUCAAGUGGACAGAUAUGCUCCUGCCACCCUUGUCUUAGCCAUCUCUGAGGUAGAAGAUAACCAGGUUGGCAAGUUCAGCUUUUAUACAAAGGAAGCCAUCCUUAAGCUCUUAUCCCAUUCAGGAGUGGAAAAUAUGCAAGUGACCCUUGCAUGCCAAGCAGCUCAGAAAAAUGCCUUGAUGGUGGCUGUCCAGCAGGCAUCCUCCGAUCCCAUGCCCCGGUGGGGCUGUCCUGCUGAUGCAAAGGAAAUAAGUUCAGAUCUGAGAAAUCAUGGUGGAAUGGGUCCAGCCAGAAGAAGAAAUUCCAGAAUUGUGAAUGACAUAGAGAAUGCACCAGUAGCCCCAAGUCCAAAAGUUCCAGACACCCUUACUCACCUGUCAGAAAGAUUCCAGGCUACCAAAAGGGCUCCAGAGGCUUUUGUGUCCAUUCAACUAGAAAAGGUGGGGCUGCGGGACAUGAUGCUGAACGCCUUCCUCCUCAGGAAACAAACCAUGGCCGACAGAAUGAAGAGCCUUGAUGAAGUUGGCAAAGUCAAGAGAGAUGUUAUAGUUGAAUAUUGUCAGAAGUUCAACUGCCGUAUGUCUCACUAUGCUCUUCGGGGUCAGAUUAUGGCAUACUGCAAUAGUCUGAGAGCCCUGCUGGAAGAUUUCCCUACCAUCAGAGAUACAUUUUUCAUGGUGGGGCAACCACAAGAAAAGAAAGGGUUGAGAGACUCCAAAGAGGGCCUCAAGGCUGACCCCAGGAGUUUUCAGGCCCGGCCGCGGGGUUUGCUGUCGGCUGACGGGAAAGUCUUCCUCAAUUUAUGGUUCCUGCCCCAUCCUUCUGAAGUGCUGGUUAUGUUCAAAACUCUGCCAGAAGAGGAAGCUUUCCAAGCCUUACAGCUAACUCUACAGCUAAUAGCCUCUCUCCAUGACAUCGUGGCCUACCUUUUCAGUUUUGCUCAACUUGGAAAUUGUCCAACAUGUUUUGAAUUUCCUCUAAGUGCUAACCCCCUGAAAGGCGACUGGGGAGGAACUGAGGGCAUCGGGUCUGAGCUGCAGGAGCUGCAGAAAAUGAUUGACAACCUCCAGAGCCCCCAGGACCCUACCCAGGUGUCCCAAGCACUCCUCCUUCGAAGGGAGGUUAUAUUUUUGCAGUUUGACGCCGCAGUGAGACACCUUAUCCGAAGAACAUUCUUGGCUGCGGGAAACGCUCCUGCCUACCAGUCUGUCACAGAUGGCAUGUACCACGGAUUGCCCCCACUGAGCAGCUCUCUUGUGAAGAGCAUUUUUGCUUCACAGCUCAGCCUGCCCCAGCCACUGGAUCCACGGAGCCUCCAGGCAUCCAUGCUAUUCCCUUGGAGAGCAUUUCUGGAAGAUGGAGGACUGUUUCCAGUUAUGAGUAGCAGACCAGAUACCCUAGAAUAUAAUAUGCAGCUGUGCCUCUGUGGGCUGAGUGAGCUUGACCUCAAGGUAGCCCAUGGAGAGCUGGUGGGCAUACGGCUGCUUUUGGAAGAUGUACUUCUGAGCAGCCAUCAUGUGACCAUGGAGGACCCCUCCACACAGCAAGCCACAAAGGACAAACACAGUCAGAUACUCCUGCCAGAUGUGUCUGGAGUGCCAGGAUUCAGAAGUCCGUUCCAAAGCAGCCCCAAAGCCUCCAGACUGCUGAGGGGCCCAUGCAAUGCGGUGAUGUCCCUUGCUGUCCUGAGAUCCUUUCUGGUGCUGUGGAAGCAGCUGGAAGUGCUAAAGGAGCACUGGGGCCGACUCAAACUGCCAGGCCAGGACCUCGAUUCUGUCUCCCUCCACAAACAGUUCUCAGAACUCUACAGAACUGACAUUCUCUAUCCCAGCAUGAAAGCUAUAGCUAGGCAGAUGGGGAAAGAAGAUGAAUUCGAAGGUAUUAUAAUAAGUAGUCAGUCUAUUCUUCCCCCCAAAGGAGCUUCAGAAAUCGAAAUAAAAACUCAGCAGCUUCAGAAACUUCUGGAAAAUCUUGAAAUUCAUAUGAUCCAAGAAGUAUUAAGAAAAGUUAACAGAGAGAGAGCACUGGUUGUAUCAGAAAAGUCCAAGGAGACAUGUACUCUCCCUACAGACCUUUGGAAGCACCAUGUCAUGAAAGAAAACUUUUCCAUUAACAGGCCACAAAUAGUUGAAAAAUUCAAACAGAGAUUAAUGGAAAAUUACCAGGAUGGUGGACUAGAGGUCACGUUCAGGAAAGACCACUUUGAGGACUGCCUCCUUUCCUUGGGUUGCGAUGUGAUGGCAAGAGAACGCAGCAACUUCGAGAGCUACUCCAUGUGUUACGAGCAUGUGUUGGAGCACGCUCGGCAGAAGCUCUUCCAGAAAGAGCAGGAAUUAGAUAUUAUCCGAAGAGGUUCAGAUCCACCUGAAGACAACGCUGGUCAGGUUGCAGAGCUCAGUCAUACUAUGAUCAUGGAAAUCACUGCUCUGAGAGCUCGACUCACAGAUUUGGAAGAGGAGAAUCUGAAUCUCAACAAGCAGAUCAGAAAAGAAGUCCAGGAAGAAUAUGAAGCAUUAGUCCGAGCUCUGUUUGCAACGUGCCUGCACAUAAAAGAAAAACUGGAUGAGAACCAGAUUAAUUUGAUCCAGAAAGUGUGUGAGCUCAUCGGCGAAGUAAGAACAGAAGGGAUUGACAAUCUGAAGGGCCUAAAGGAGAAAUGGGGCUCUGCCAGACCCGACGAAGGAAUGAAAGAAAACCCAGCCAAAGAGCAGCUGCAGGCUCUGGAGCAGGACAGCAGCAGCCUGGCUGCGCUGGUAUGCAAAUUGAGGAGCCUGGGCCACUGGAGGCUGGCGGUGCAGCAGGCUCGCUUCCAGCGCCAGGUGAACAGGGCGGAGAAGGAAGCUCUGCAAAGUAAAAAAGAGUGCUUGAGCGUCCAGCUAAUGGCAGACCAAGAAGUGGUUUUACUUCGUCAACAGUUACGGGGUCUAAGGCAGGCCCUGGCCAGGGCUCAGGCCGACAACGCCAGGAUGCUCCGCAUGCAUGAUAACCAGGCUCAACUGCUGAGAGAGCUGCAACACAAGUUGACCCAGGAGGCUCGCCACCGGCAACAGAUGGAUCUGAUGAAAACCUCCAGCAUGGAGAAGCUCCUGGAAGACAUGGAGAAAAAGGAACAGCACCUGCAGCUCCUGACAGAAGCAGCUGAGAGGGCUUCCAGGCUGGGCCAGCUUCAGCAGAAGAGAAGUCAGAAAGAGCUCCAACAGAUGAGGAGCCGGCUUGCCCAGGAGCGGAGUGUGAAGCUGGAUGCUUUCCAGCGCGUACAAGAGCUACAAAGUCAGCUUAGUGACGCUGAGCGAUCGUCUGUCCGGAUGAGCUCACCAGGUGGCCUUAUACCUCGGGCUCAGUAUUCCCUACGUUCUGCUCCCACAUCAUCCAGACACUCCCAGCAACACCUUUUAAGGACUCAUCUUAUGAGCAGUAAAAUAACUAGAAGGAUUCAAAGGCCGGACACCGUACCUAUUAAACAUGAAAGAAGGACUGACAACGUCUUUCUACCCAAUGUGGCAGAAAAUGUUCAAUGUUCAGCUUUUCAAGUUCACACGGCUCCAUCCAUAAUCCCAUAAAGACCUGACUGUGGUUAUGAUGCAGUCCCAGAAUAGCAGAAGACAACAGCCAAGGACAAGCAACAGCCAUGAACAGAGACCAUGUAAUAACGGUUUUUGAAGAACUGCCACUCAACAGAUGCACUUUCUAUAAGCAAACCCUGGCCUCCUUCCACUUCCAGAACGAGAGAGAGAAAACUAGAGAGACCCCAUGGUACUUCACUGGAGAACCCCAUAUGGGUCAAGCACGAAAACUACAUCAAGGUUCAUGGAGAAGCAAUUAAAAGUGAACCCACAAUGGUUCUGAAGAAACUGUUUUCCCCUUUUGGUUCACAUCCUACCUUCUGGAAAUUAAUUUUUCCUUAACAUCUGUGCUUUCAUCAAGCCUUUAACAUCCUCC